This 301-nucleotide long non-coding RNA is filed under the name Hordeum vulgare. Its description in RNAcentral is "long non-coding RNA (HVUL_LNC018568)". The record is from RNAcentral. Lineage: Eukaryota; Viridiplantae; Streptophyta; Magnoliopsida; Poales; Poaceae.
ACGAUUGUUACCCCGACGGUGCUUACUACUAUGUGGAGGUCGCUGAAGACCAGGAGUAGUUUAGAAGGUUCCCAGGCAGGAGGCCUCGCCUCGUUCAAUCGUUGUAUAUUUUGUGAUAGCCUUCUCUAAGGCAUUGCCAUGUUUCAUGUCUAUUUUCAGAUAUUUGUUGCUUCCGUUGACUCAUGUGUUUAUCGAGCUUCUGUAUUUUAGCCCUCGAGGCCCCUGGCUUGUAAUAUGAAGCUUGUAUGUUUUAUUUGUAUCUACAGUUUUGUUGUGAUAUCUUACCGUGAGUGCUUGAGCU